UCCUGGCUCAGGAUGAACGCUAGCGGCAGGCUUAACACAUGCAAGUCGAGGGGUAUAUUUCUUCGGAGAUAGAGACCGGCGCACGGGUGCGUAACGCGUAUGCAAUCUACCUUUUACAGAGGGAUAGCCCAGAGAAAUUUGGAUUAAUACCUCAUAGUAUAUAGCCCUGGCAUCAGGAUUAUAUUAAAGUCACAACGGUAAAAGAUGAGCAUGCGUCCCAUUAGCUAGUUGGUAAGGUAACGGCUUACCAAGGCUACGAUGGGUAGGGGUCCUGAGAGGGAGAUCCCCCACACUGGUACUGAGACACGGACCAGACUCCUACGGGAGGCAGCAGUGAGGAAUAUUGGACAAUGGGCGCAAGCCUGAUCCAGCCAUGCCGCGUGCAGGAUGACGGUCCUAUGGAUUGUAAACUGCUUUUAUACGAGAAGAAACACUGCUUCGUGAAGCAGCUUGACGGUAUCGUAAGAAUAAGGAUCGGCUAACUCCGUGCCAGCAGCCGCGGUAAUACGGAGGAUCCAAGCGUUAUCCGGAAUCAUUGGGUUUAAAGGGUUCGUAGGCGGUUUAAUAAGUCAGUGGUGAAAGCCCAUCGCUCAACGGUGGAACGGCCAUUGAUACUGUUAGACUUGAAUUAUUAGGAAGUAACUAGAAUAUGUAGUGUAGCGGUGAAAUGCUUAGAGAUUACAUGGAAUACCAAUUGCGAAGGCAGGUUACUACUAAUGGAUUGACGCUGAUGGACGAAAGCGUGGGUAGCGAACAGGAUUAGAUACCCUGGUAGUCCACGCCGUAAACGAUGGAUACUAGCUGUUGGAAGCAAUUUCAGUGGCUAAGCGAAAGUGAUAAGUAUCCCACCUGGGGAGUACGUUCGCAAGAAUGAAACUCAAAGGAAUUGACGGGGGCCCGCACAAGCGGUGGAGCAUGUGGUUUAAUUCGAUGAUACGCGAGGAACCUUACCAAGGCUUAAAUGUAGAUUGACCGGUUUGGAAACAGAUCUUUCGCAAGACAAUUUACAAGGUGCUGCAUGGUUGUCGUCAGCUCGUGCCGUGAGGUGUCAGGUUAAGUCCUAUAACGAGCGCAACCCCUGUUGUUAGUUGCCAGCGAGUCAUGUCGGGAACUCUAACAAGACUGCCAGUGCAAACUGUGAGGAAGGUGGGGAUGACGUCAAAUCAUCACGGCCCUUACGCCUUGGGCUACACACGUGCUACAAUGGCCGGUACAGAGAGCAGCCACUGGGCGACCAGGAGCGAAUCUACAAAACCGGUCACAGUUCGGAUCGGAGU
Molecule: ribosomal RNA, 1277 nt
Filed under: Flavobacterium sp. WB3.2-16
Lineage: Bacteria; Pseudomonadati; Bacteroidota; Flavobacteriia; Flavobacteriales; Flavobacteriaceae
Description: bacterial SSU rRNA
Rfam family: Bacterial small subunit ribosomal RNA
Source: RNAcentral